RNAcentral lists this ribosomal RNA (415 nucleotides) under Pterois miles (devil firefish). RNAcentral describes it as "partial 12S ribosomal RNA". It matches the Rfam family "Bacterial small subunit ribosomal RNA", at positions 765 to 1382 of the family's 1533-position model. Lineage: Eukaryota; Metazoa; Chordata; Actinopteri; Perciformes; Scorpaenidae. The record is from RNAcentral.
CCCCUAAACUGGGAUUAGAUACCCCACUAUGCCUAGCCCUAAACAUUGGUAUAACUCUACACAUUUUACCCGCCCGGGUACUACGAGCACCAGCUUAAAACCCAAAGGACUUGGCGGUGCUUUAGACCCCCCUAGAGGAGCCUGUUCUAGAACCGAUAACCCCCGUUCAACCUCACCCUUUCUUGUUUAUUCCGCCUAUAUACCGCCGUCGUCAGCUUACCCUGUGAAGGUUUAAUAGUAAGCACAACUGGUUUAACCCAAAACGUCAGGUCGAGGUGUAGCGAAUGAAAGGGGAAGAAAUGGGCUACAUUCCCUAAAGAUAGGGAAAACGAAUGACAUACUGAAAUGCAUGUCUGAAGGAGGAUUUAGUAGUAAGUGGAAAAUAGAGCGUCUCACUGAAACGGCCCUGAAGCGG